CUACGGGUGGCACCAGUGAGGAAUAUUGCACAAUGGGGGGAACCCUGAUGCAGCAACGCCGCGUGGAGGAUGACGCAUUUCGGUGUGUAAACUCCUUUUAUAUGUCAAGAAAAUGACGGUAGCAUAUGAAUAAGCACCGGCUAACUCCGUGCCAGCAGCCGCGGUAAUACGGAGGGUGCAAGCGUUACUCGGAAUCACUGGGCGUAAAGGACGCGUAGGCGGGUUGGAAAGUCAGGUGUGAAAUCCUACAGCUUAACUGUAGAACUGCACUUGAAACUUCUAAUCUAGAGUAUGGGAGGGGGAGGUGGAAUUAGUGGUGUAGGGGUAAAAUCCGUAGAUGUCACUAGGAAUACCUAAAGCGAAGGCGAUCUCCUGGAACAUUACUGACGCUAAGGCGUGAAAGCGUGGGGAGCAAACAGGAUUAGAUACCCCAGUAGUC
This 439-nucleotide ribosomal RNA is filed under the name uncultured bacterium. RNAcentral's name for it is "partial 16S ribosomal RNA". It matches the Rfam family "Bacterial small subunit ribosomal RNA", at positions 339 to 795 of the family's 1533-position model. The record is from RNAcentral.